CCUUCACAUCUUUUUUCCCACAAAUUUUACACAGCCAAGCUCGCCGUUACAUCUUUUUACCGUUCAGAAUUCUCCUUUCUCCCUUUCAGUUUUCCAUUCUCAUUCGCUAAUCAGUCUUUAUCGUUAAUCAAUUUCGUCAAUAAUCAGCGCCCAAUCAGCUCCAAUUAGAAGCCUAUAGUCAGUCCACACUUCCAUUCUCAUCACUGUUAAUGAUAUUAACCUGCGUGACUAUCAGUCUAUCAAUUAUCCCUGACAGAGCUAGGGUAGAAAAUUCGGGUGCGCGGCGAUAUUGACCGGCGUUGCUAUUACUCAGCCGUUUCCUCCGACUCCCCACCCCUCCGCUCCCUCGCAGACGCCCUCAGUACAUUCCAGCAGGUAUGCAUCUUAUUUUUUUAAUAAUCGUAUUUUUUUUAUCUUACUUAAUCGAUCUGUUUUGUCUAAUUUAGAAUAAUUAAUUUACGCACCAACAAUUGUUUACUAUGAAUAAAAUUAAGAAUUAUGUUUAUUAUAGUUGCAAUGCAAAUAGUUAAAGAAUAUAAUUUUUUUACAGCAAUUGCGUUGAUUGAUGGUGAGUUGUGUCUAUAUGUUGCCCUCCAUGUGUUGGACGAAUUGUCUUAGAGACAAUUUUAUCAUCCUCAAGCUAUUUCUUUGAGCUUCUCUUUUGUCUUGCUCAAGUCUUAUUUCUUGCAGAGAACAAAUGCAGAUUAUGUGGAGGAAACCACUUUACAAAUUGUAAGUAUCUUUUAGGAAUAUCGAAGCUGUGAAGUUUCUAUUAUCUCAUGGUGCAAAUCAAGACUAUCUUAAAUCAUUAAAAAUUUUGGAUGUGGAAAAGAGUUUGAUUAGUUUUGCAUGUCAAUUUUGCUACUGUAUCCAAUCAUAUUGAUAUAAUCUUGUGAGACUAAUGUACUGUUGAAUGCUCAUAUUUUUUUUUUGAUUUAUUUUUUUGCUGCUCUCUACUUUGCAGCUAAAUGUAAGUUUUUUAGUUAUGGAGUCCCCUCUUAUAUGUGCAAUCAAGGCUCGCUAAUUUGUAUGCAUGGAUGUGCUACUUAAGGUAUGUUGUGUGAUGUAUUAUUUGAAUUUGUAUGUCUAUUUUUUAGAUUGGGGGUUAUUAUGGACACCUUGAAUGGACAUCUUCUUUAUAUAGGAUACCAACUUAGCCUACGUAGCAGCCCUCAAAUCCCAGCGUUCUCAAAAUCCUCGAUUCUCCUUCAUCCUCAAAAUUCCUUAAUAUCUUCUUCAACAUUUCCAUUCUAAUCCCCUCACUCAAAUCUCAGUUGUGUUUCACCACAGUCAAUGGAAAGCGUUUCACCAUAAUCAAUGGAAUUCAAUAAUCAGGUCCUUACCAUCUCCAAAUCAAUGUUUAUAUUAUGAAGGUGGCUGGCUUCUCACAAGAUCUCUGUCAUUUGCCUCUCGAUUCUCCAUUCUCCUUAAUCGUUUCCAUGAACUCUACCUCAAUCACCUCUUGAUUCUCAUUGAUUAAUGCCCCCAAUGAAGGUAAAAAGUCUAACACAAGCUUCUCAAUCGUUAAUUAUACCUAGGGGUGAGCAGAAACCGAACCGAAAUGCAAAACCGAACCGAACCGAACCGUUUUGGUGCGGUUCGGUCCCGAAUCUAUUGGUUCGGUUUUCGGUUCGGUUCCGAAAAUUAAAAACCGAUAAGUUUCGGUUCGGUUUCGGUUUUCAGUUUUUGGUUCGGUUUUAAACCGAACCGAACCGAUAAAUAUUAAUAUUUUAUUAUAUAUUUAUAUUUUAUAAUAUAUAUUCAAUUUUCUAAUUUUUAAUUGGUUUAUAUAUUUAUAUUUUAUUAUAUAUUUAUAUUUUAUAUAUUUUAUAAUAUAUUAAUUGGGUUUUUCAUAAAUUAUAUAUUUAUAUUUUUACAUUAUUUUACAGGUUUUUUAAUUAUUUUUUUUUAGAAAAAAGUUUUUUUUUUUGUCAUUGGUUCGGUAAACCGAACCGAAACCGACGGUUUACGUCUUCUUUUGCUCCAAUUGUCUCGUUCCAAUUACCAUCUUCGGUUUUCGGUUUGGAUUUGCUGAACAACGUCUCACUUAAUUAUACCCUGUCUUUUCAACUAUAAAUUUUUGGNAAAUGGUUUCCACGCAUACCAUCCGAAAUUCUUUUUUUUUGUUUUCCAGGUCAUCUUUGGUUAAUUGGCUCUCAAUUUUUGAGGUUUGUUCUUUCAGAUUUUUGUUGAUUUAAUAUGAUAUUUUCAUCAUUAUUCUGUAAGUUGUUUCGUGUUUUUGAUUUUGUAUUAGCGCUGAGAAAUAUAUAUUGUUGGAGGUGAGUGACAAACACUGGCUGAUAUAUAUAUAGUGGGGAAAAAACUGCAAAAUUCGAGGUGAUAGUUGAGUGGAAUCGCAUAAAAA
Molecule: long non-coding RNA, 2365 nt
Filed under: Salvia miltiorrhiza (redroot sage)
Lineage: Eukaryota; Viridiplantae; Streptophyta; Magnoliopsida; Lamiales; Lamiaceae
Description: long non-coding RNA (SMIL_LNC008631)
Source: RNAcentral